RNAcentral lists this ribosomal RNA (607 nucleotides) under uncultured Spirochaeta sp. Its description in RNAcentral is "bacterial SSU rRNA". It matches the Rfam family "Bacterial small subunit ribosomal RNA", at positions 312 to 916 of the family's 1533-position model. Lineage: Bacteria; Pseudomonadati; Spirochaetota; Spirochaetia; Spirochaetales; Spirochaetaceae. The record is from RNAcentral.
AGUUCGGCCUGCAGUCGACGAUUCUACGGGAGGCAGCAGCUAAGAAUCUUCCGCAAUGGGCGAAAGCCUGACGGAGCGACGCCGCGUGGACGAAGAAGGCCGGAAGGUUGUAAAGUCCUUUUCCUGGGGGAGAAUAAUGCGGGGAGGGAAUGCCCUGCAGAUGACGUGAACCAGGGAAUAAGCCCCGGCUAAUUACGUGCCAGCAGCCGCGGUAACACGUAAGGGGCGAGCGUUGUUCGGAUUUAUUGGGCGUAAAGGGCGUGUAGGCGGUAGUGCAAGUCUGGUGUGAAAGGCCCCGGCUCAACCGGGGAAGCGCGCUGGAAACUGUGCUGCUAGAGUUUAGGAGGGGAAGCUGGAAUUCCUGGUGUAGGGGUGAAAUCUGUAGAGAUCAGGAAGAACACCGGAGGCGAAGGCGAGCUUCUGGCCAUAGACUGACGCUGAGGCGCGAAAGCGUGGGGAGCAAACAGGAUUAGAUACCCUGGUAGUCCACGCUGUAAACGAUGUGCACUAGGUGUUGGGGGUAUGAACUCUCGGUGCCGGAGCUAACGCGUUAAGUGCACCGCCUGGGGAGUACGCCGGCAACGGUAAAACUCAAAGGAAUUGACGG